GCAGCGCGGGGCAACCUGGCGGCGAGUGGCGAACGGGUGAGUAAUAUAUCGGAACGUGCCCUGGAGUGGGGGAUAACGCAGCGAAAGUUGCGCUAAUACCGCAUACGAUCUAAGGAUGAAAGCGGGGGAUUCGCAAGAACCUCGUGCUCCUGGAGCGGCCGAUAUCUGAUUAGCUAGUUGGUGGGGUAAAGGCCUACCAAGGCAUCGAUCAGUAGCUGGUCUGAGAGGACGACCAGCCACACUGGAACUGAGACACGGUCCAGACUCCUACGGGAGGCAGCAGUGGGGAAUUUUGGACAAUGGGCGAAAGCCUGAUCCAGCAAUGCCGCGUGAGUGAAGAAGGCCUUCGGGUUGUAAAGCUCUUUUGUCAGGGAAGAAACGGUGAAGGCUAAUAUCCUUUGCUAAUGACGGUACCUGAAGAAUAAGCACCGGCUAACUACGUGCCAGCAGCCGCGGUAAUACGUAGGGUGCAAGCGUUAAUCGGAAUUACUGGGCGUAAAGCGUGCGCAGGCGGUUUUGUAAGUCUGUCGUGAAAUCCCCGGGCUCAACCUGGGAAUUGCGAUGGAGACUGCAAGGCUAGAAUCUGGCAGAGGGGGGUAGAAUUCCACGUGUAGCAGUGAAAUGCGUAGAGAUGUGGAGGAACACCGAUGGCGAANGCAGCCCCCUGGGUCAAGAUUGACGCUCAUGCACGAAAGCGUGGGGAGCAAACAGGAUUAGAUACCCUGGUAGUCCACGCCCUAAACGAUGUCUACUAGUUGUCGGGUUUUAAUUAACUUGGUAACGCAGCUAACGCGUGAAGUAGACCGCCUGGGGAGUACGGUCGCAAGAUUAAAACUCAAAGGAAUUGACGGGGACCCGCACAAGCGGUGGAUGAUGUGGNUUAAUUCGAUGCAACGCGAAAAACCUUACCUACCCUUGACNUGUACGGAAGCCACGAGAGAUCGAGNUGUGCUCGAAAGANANCCGUAACACAGGUGCUGCAUGGNUGUCGUCAGCUCG
RNAcentral lists this ribosomal RNA (999 nucleotides) under uncultured bacterium. RNAcentral describes it as "bacterial SSU rRNA". It matches the Rfam family "Bacterial small subunit ribosomal RNA", at positions 69 to 1062 of the family's 1533-position model. The record is from RNAcentral.